ACUACCUCAACGUCGUCGUCUCGCCAGCCCCAACUUGGCGACACUAUCAAUAAAUAGAGAAAACCCUAAAUUGCUCUCUACAUAAUUCUCUGUUCUGUGUCUCCUUCCCUCUGAGAACGUUGUUCAUUCCUCUUCCUAAAAUGGAAUUGGUUAUCAGUGGUAGGCCACCAUCUAGAUUAGAGUAUAAAUCUGCAAGGAUCGGAUCUGGUGCGUGGAGGAGCAAAGCAAGGGGGUUACUGAAAGGCGGAUAAGAAACAGAGGCAGUGAAGGCAUAUCCGGAAACCAACUAUGAAAUGGGGACAUAAUCUGCGUUGGCUGUUUUAAUAUAAUCCUAUUGGAACGGAAAUGAAUGGAGUUAUAAAACAGUUAUAAUGUUCAAUUAUUUUUUCUGUGUGACAAAAUCUUUCUAUUUCAGGCUUAAAAAAGAGAAAGAGAAAGAAAAGAUGGGUUCUUUCUGUAGAUCCAAUCUUCAUCUUUUUAGUAGUAUUUUUAAAAUUCAUUUAGAUGUUGCAACUGCGAUCUGCAUGUAUGUGCUUUAAUGUUUGUCUUAGCUUUUCGGCUGAGUUAAUCUGCUUUUGUUUUAACUUUGGAUGUUUCAAUCCUGCUAGGUUCAGAUAUAACGGUUGAUUUAAGUUUUUCUCUUUUACUUAACGCUAGGAUCUUUUUCUUGCUAUAGAUGAUGAUUGACGUUAAAAUUAAUCUAAUUUGAUUGA
This 713-nucleotide unclassified non-coding RNA is filed under the name Hevea brasiliensis (rubber tree). Lineage: Eukaryota; Viridiplantae; Streptophyta; Magnoliopsida; Malpighiales; Euphorbiaceae. The record is from RNAcentral.